This is a non-coding RNA of Cicer arietinum (chickpea), 87 nucleotides long. The record is from Rfam. NCBI's taxonomy places the organism in Eukaryota, Viridiplantae, Streptophyta, Magnoliopsida, Fabales, Fabaceae.
UGGAGAAGGGGAGCGCGUGCAAAAAAUUGAUAUGCAUUGAGAGAAUGAAUUAGAAGAGAGAAUUUGCACGUGCCCUGCUUCUCCAAC